Molecule: long non-coding RNA, 1366 nt
Filed under: Felis catus (domestic cat)
Lineage: Eukaryota; Metazoa; Chordata; Mammalia; Carnivora; Felidae
Description: lncRNA (ENSFCAG00000049869.1)
Source: RNAcentral
CAGCUCCUGUCUCCCACUGUUCAAAUGUUGCCAUGGUGACCAAUUUUUGUCAUGUAUAUUCCCAGAUCCCGAGCGGCCUCCUUAUUCAUAGCACUUUGCCAUCACUACAGCGACCGCUAGCUGCUGUCUUAUUAUCUAAUCUCCCCUUAGUAAUACAUAUCACCUUUAAACUACCUGGGUGAAUUCUUGAAACCUGAGUAUAAAUGAUAUGUUACAGAAACCGGAAAAUAAAUUCACAUUAGAUAACGUUAUAAUGAUAAUAACAAAUAAAUAAGACUCCUUAAGCCGGCCAUAAGCAGGGGCUUUGUGAAUUCACUCCCUUACCAUUGCCUGGCUAUGUCACCAUCCAUGUCACUGGAGGACCCAUCUGAUUCUUUUACGACGAAUGGAAUAACAAGAUUGCAGAACUGUUGAGCUGAAUUUGAUCAACCGUGUUGCAAUUCAUCUGACUGUUGAGCUUUUUGCUGUUAGGACAGCUGAAACACACAAAUUAUCAGCAUAUUGGAAGAAGAAGCCGAGAGGUGCAGAGAGAGUCUGAUUUAUCCACAUGCCUAAAAAGACAAGGUCGUCUGGCUAAACCAAAUGUCACCCCUUUUUCCUUUUUAAAUAUUGUAGGCUGACUGUCUUUUGAGUAAAAACACAACCUUAAAAAGAAUCACAAGAAACCAGAUCAAAGACAUAAAUAGAACAAAAUAUGCACAAGAGAUCUCCUCCAAGAUCAAAGAUGUGAACGGAAUUGCCAUGAAUAAGAAGUGUAGAGCUCACCAGAACAGAAUGUCUUCGGCAUACAUAGAAUUCUACCAAAAAGAGAAAAUAGAAGAAGAAGAAGAAGAAGAAGAAGAAGAAGAAGGAGGAGAAGAAGAAGAGGAGGAGGAGGGGAAGGGAGAAAAAAAGUCUCUGGGAAAUCAGGCCCUCUGCAAAGCAAGGUCUGACGCCCAGAAAUGGCUUGGCAGCUUUACAGACAACACUUCCACACUUUUCCAUGCGUGGGAACUUUUGGGACAUGAUACGUGAUUGCCUUGGAAAUUAUUUGAUGUUGACGAAUUAGGUCCUUUCCAAAAAAGAGAAGCGAUUUUCAGCCACCUUGAGACGCCAUUUUCUCCUGUUACACAAAGGUAGACUUCUGGCGAUCUUCUCAGAAAGCUCAACUAGUUUUCUUGAAUGAGGGACUCGCUAUGGUGGGGAUUCCCGAAAAAAAUAAUACGCUCUUUUCUAGUCUUUUUGACCCACAGAGUCCUGCUAGUUCAAGUCAGAAUUCUAGAUGAUUUGAAGUUGAUAAAGGAGGCUUAGAGCUUAUCUGUGCAGCCAUCCCAUUAGAAUGCAGCACCUUCUUGUAGAUGUUUCGUACUUCGGUGAAGGAAAUGGC